AAAACCAGAUACUCCUAUUGAAGUAAGUUCCCCAAAUGACGGAGACCAAAGUGAGGAAACUUCAGAUAAAGAUCCGAUGCCGUUUCCUGUGGGACAUGUGGCUGCACACCAGUCAUGAGGAUCACACCAAUGGCCUUUCAUAUGUAUAACAAGUCAUCUAUGACUGACUUAAAUCCACGGCUGAAUUCUUAGGACUGGGCAGAACAGUCUAAGGUGAUAGCCAUAUUUUCACAAGAGCUCAGGAAAUGAACCUCACUCUGUGGAACUGAAAGCUGGUGGCUGAACUGAGAACUCUGCCACACUGUGAUCCAAACCAGGGCUGCCACCUGCAGGAACAACUCAAAGUCUGUUUAUGUCAUGCUGAAGUUGUUAAAUUGCAAGAUGUUUCCGGGCAUCCAUGCAAAGAAGAGAUUAUGAAAAAUCUUUCAUUGUUUUCUUCUCAGUACACAAUGGUUGCCAAGGUUGACUCCAGUGCUGUAUCAACGUGAUGAUCUUCCUAGUCUAAACCUUUACUUUCUAGAGUUUCAGGGACAACUGUUAGCAUCAUCUGGACUAGAUGCAUCUCAGAAAAACAACAGCAACAACAACAGCAGCAACAGCAACAGCAAAAAGAGAAACAACAGCAACAACAGAACAGCAACAGCAGCAACAACAGUAACGACAGCAACAAUAACAGCCAAAAACCGAAAAUGGCUUGAUUUAGCCCAGCCAAAGCUGGAGAAAAGGAAAUUUUCAGUCUGCCCUGCUGUGCCUACAGCAGUGUUACAACUUACAGAAGAGAGAAACUAAAGCCAGGAAACACGCACAUGUCAUUUAGCUGUGGUCCUGGACACAGGAACAGACAAAGAGGCUUUUUCAUGGUUCUACUCAGCACAGUAUUUCCUACAGGCUUCCUGUGGUGGUUUCAGUGAGACUCAUCCCAAAAGCUUAUGUAUGUGACUGCUUGAUUCCCAGUGGAAUUGCUUGAGAAGGAUUAGAUGUGGCCUUGCUGGAGUAAGUAUGGCCUUGUUGGAGUAAUUGUGUUUUGGGAGUGGGCUUUGGGGUUUCAAAUUCGCUUGCUGGGCCCAGUCUCUCUCUCUCUCUCUCUCUCUCUC
RNAcentral lists this long non-coding RNA (1094 nucleotides) under Mus spicilegus (steppe mouse). RNAcentral describes it as "lncRNA (ENSMSIG00000003780.1)". The record is from RNAcentral. Lineage: Eukaryota; Metazoa; Chordata; Mammalia; Rodentia; Muridae.